This 92-nucleotide ribosomal RNA is filed under the name Symplocastrum torsivum CPER-KK1. Its description in RNAcentral is "Phormidiaceae cyanobacterium CPER-KK1 Bacterial small subunit ribosomal RNA". It matches the Rfam family "Bacterial small subunit ribosomal RNA", at positions 1 to 101 of the family's 1533-position model. The record is from Rfam by way of RNAcentral. Lineage: Bacteria; Bacillati; Cyanobacteriota; Cyanophyceae; Oscillatoriales; Microcoleaceae.
AAAAUGGAGAGUUUGAUCCUGGCUCAGGAUGAACGCUGGCGGUCUGCUUAACACAUGCAAGUCGAACGGGCUCUUUAGGGAGCUAGUGGCGG